GAGGGUCUAGCUCAGUGGUGGAGCACAUGCUUAGCAUGCACAAGGUUCUAGGUUCAAUCCCCAGUACCCCCA
RNAcentral lists this transfer RNA (72 nucleotides) under Camelus bactrianus (Bactrian camel). It matches the Rfam family "tRNA". Rfam says of the family: Transfer RNA (tRNA) molecules are approximately 80 nucleotides in length. Their secondary structure includes four short double-helical elements and three loops (D, anti-codon, and T loops). Further hydrogen bonds mediate the characteristic L-shaped molecular structure. tRNAs have two regions of fundamental functional importance: the anti-codon, which is responsible for specific mRNA codon recognition, and the 3' end, to which the tRNAs corresponding amino acid is attached (by aminoacyl-tRNA synthetases). tRNAs cope with the degeneracy of the genetic code in two manners: having more than one tRNA (with a specific anti-codon) for a particular amino acid; and 'wobble' base-pairing, i.e. permitting non-standard base-pairing at the 3rd anti-codon position. The record is from Rfam by way of RNAcentral. Lineage: Eukaryota; Metazoa; Chordata; Mammalia; Artiodactyla; Camelidae. RNAcentral also lists the same sequence under 2 other names.